Molecule: long non-coding RNA, 226 nt
Filed under: Lathyrus oleraceus (garden pea)
Lineage: Eukaryota; Viridiplantae; Streptophyta; Magnoliopsida; Fabales; Fabaceae
Description: Pisum sativum (pea) long non-coding RNA (PSAT_LNC009598)
Source: RNAcentral
UGAAUUUGGGAAUAGAAAGGAGGCUAGAGAAGGGCAAGAGGAAAAGCUUAAAAAUUGGAGGAAUCUAGAGAAUCAAGUCAUAAAAUUUGCACUGCUAUUAGGAUAAUCAGGUAAGGGGGAGAACUAUCUCAAUAAUAGAUAUAAGCAUGAGGGAUAUAAUUGAGGAGUUCUUAACCUUCAAUAGGGCUUAAGAUUAUUAUAUAAUUCUAUUAUAGAUGAAUGAAUU